CUGUAUACAAAAAUAUGCUUGUCAUUGGAUGGCUCGGUUUGCGAAGCUGAUGAAGGGCGUGCCAAGCUGCGAUAAGCCCGGGGUAGAUGCAUGGAAUCUAUGAACCCGGGAUCCCCGAAUGGGACAUCCUGACGACUCCUGUCGUCAAUCGUUUUGUAACUAAAACGAUAGGAAACGCCCCGAAUUGAAACAUCUUAGUAGGGGCAGGAGAAGAAAUCAAGCGAGAUGUCGUGAGUAGAGGCGAUCGAAACCGACAGAGUUCAAACCGAAUCCUUUUGCAAAAAAGGACAUGUGGUGUUGAGGACUUGCAGAAAUGAGAGAAAAGUGUCAUCAAAAGUCGCCUGGAACGGCACACGAUACAGGGUGAUAGUCCCGUAUGGUGGUAUCUUUCUCUCUUGCAAGCACCUGAGUAGCGUGGGUUGGAAAUCCCGCGUGAAUCUGGGGGUCAUCAACCUCCAAAACUAAAUACUCCGCAAAACCGAUAGCGAAAUAGUAGCGUGAGCGAAAGCUGAAAAGCAACCCUUGAAAGGUGUUGAAAAGUGCCUGAAAGUGACAAGUGAUAGUGGGAUGCGGCAUGAAAGGACCUCUUUCUUGAAGGACCGGGCAGCAAUGCCCCUGUACGAAAGAAAGUGCCGAUGUCGCAUCGUACGUUUUGAAGAACGGGCCAGAGAGUUUGUUCACAUGGCGAAGGCUAAUUUGUGAUAAGGAGCCGUAGGGAAACCAACAAGUUUGUAAGUCGUAAGACGGUGAAACGACGUAUUAAAAGUGCGUGUAGUCCUGUGGACAAGACCCGAAGCCUGGCGAUCUAUGCGUGGGCAGGUUGAAGCGUGACGAAAGUUGCGUGGAGGACCGCAGGCGGUUUUGAUAUGCAAAUCAUUCGCGUGACCUGCGUAUAGGAGUGAAAGAUUAAUCGAGCCAGGCAUCAGCUGGUUCCCCCCGAAACAUGUCCAAGCAUGACCUAACCGGAGGUCGAGGGUGAGGUAGAGCACUGAUUGAGGGAGCUGGGGAAGAAAUUCCUUACCCCUCUGUCAAACUCCAAACUCCCUCUCACCUGCGAUGGUUGGAAGUCCGCAUUACGGGGUAAGCUUGUAAUGCGUGAGGGAGACAACCCAGACCGUGGUUAAUGUCCCCAAGUGCAGGCUCAGUGUAAACACAGAAAAGUGGUCCUGGGUCAAAGACAACUGGAAGGUGAGCUUAGAAGCAGCUAUCCUUGAAAAAGUGCGUAACAGCUUACCAGUCAAGAUUCAGGGCGCUGAAAAUGGACGGGGCUUAAGCCUGCCACAGAUACCACGGACUAUACCUUACCGGUAUAAUGGCGUAGGGGGGCGUUGUGCAUGGGUGGAAGCAGGGUUGUGAAAUCCUGUGGACCGUGCAGAAAUGAGAAUUCUGGCAAUAGUAGAAGCUGUAGUCCGGUGAGAAUCCGGACCGCCGGAGGGGCGAGGUUUCCUCGACAAUGUUCGUCAGUCGAGGGUUAGUCGGUCCUAAGAUGUGCCGUAAUUCGAGCACACCGAAAGGGAAACAGGUUAAUAUUCCUGUACCAGUAUCAAGUCUGACGCUUCUUGCUAUGACUCGCAGGGCCGUCGCCCUGUUGAAGCCGUAUAAGCAUGUGGAGUACCGUAAUGGUGAGAAACGUGCGAAAUGGUUACCACGUAAGGAUGUCAAAUGCAAGGAGCCCGUGAAAAGGAGAUACAUUGGCCGUACCAAGAUCUGACACAGGUGCCCCUCGCUGAAAAGGCGAAGGCGUGGCGGAUAAAUCGUGUUAAGGGAACUCGGCAAAUUAGCCCUGUAACCUCGGGAGAAGGGGUGCCUGCCUGGAGAUCAGGCAGGUCGCAGUGACAAGAGCACUCCGACUGUCUAAUAACAACAUAGCUGACUGCAACUCCGUAAGGACUCGUAUAGUCAGUGAUUCCUGCCCAGUGCGAGUAUCUGAAAACUCAUUCCAACGGGAAGAAGGACUCGUAAACGGCGGGGGUAACUAUGACCCUCUUAAGGUAGCGUAGUACCUUGUCGCUUAAUUGGCGACUUGCAUGAAUGGAAUAACGAGAGUGCUACUGUCCCUAACACGAACCCGUUGAACUUUUUGUCCUAGUGCAGAGACUAGGGACUCCUUAUGGGAAGUGAAGACCCCGUGGAGCUUUACUGCAGCCUGUCGCGGUCGCACGGUAUUACCUGCGCAGCGUAGAUGGGAGACGUCGAACCACCCCUCGUGGGGGGUGGGGAGUCAUCAAUGAGACACCAUCCUGGUUUUAUUGUGCGACUCACUGUCACAAGACAGGACAACGAUAGGUGGGCAGUUUGGGUGGGGCGCCACACCCUCGAAAAGAUAUCAAGGGUGCCCUAAGGUCAACUCAGAUGGGUCAGAAACUCAUCGAAGAGUGUCAAGAGCAUAAGUUGGCCUGACGCGAUCUCGCACAGCAAGAGAUCGCGAGAGGAAACUCGGGUCUAACGAACCAAUAUGCCUUAUUGAUGAGGGCUAUUGACGACAGAAAAGCUACCCCGGGGAUAACAGAGUCGUCGCCGGCAAGAGCACAUAUCGACCCGGCGGCUUGCUACCUCGAUGUCGGUUCUUUCCAUCCUGGCUGUGCAGCAGCAGCCAAGGGUGAGGUUGUUCGCCUAUUAAAGGGGAUCGUGAGCUGGGUUUAGACCGUCGUGAGACAGGUCGGUUACUAUCUAUAAGGAGUGUCGGAAGUCUGAAGGGAAGAUUGAAAUAGUACGAGAGGAACUUUCAGUCGACGCCUCUGGUCGAUCGGUUGUCUGACAAGGCAAUGCCGAGCAGCUACGCGUUACCGGAUAAAAGCUGAAAGCAUCUAAGCUUGAAACCUACCCUAAACAAGAGACUUCAUCAAAAACACGGAUAAAAGAUCCGGUUGAUAGGCUUGGGAUGUAAGCACGAAGGAAACGACGUGUUCAGUCCGCAAGUACUAAUUGUUCCAUUGACUACAGAC
Molecule: ribosomal RNA, 2945 nt
Filed under: Candidatus Methanofilum arcanum
Lineage: Archaea; Methanobacteriati; Methanobacteriota; Methanomicrobia; Methanomicrobiales; Methanospirillaceae
Description: 23S ribosomal RNA
Rfam family: Archaeal large subunit ribosomal RNA
Source: RNAcentral